GAGGGCCUGGAUACAAUAAAAAAGAAGAGAAAAGGUGAAUUCACGCUGCUUGAGCUGGGACAUCCAUCUUCUGCCUUCAGACUUCAGUGCUUCCGGUUCUCAGGUCUGGGCACUGGGACCAGGACUUACACCAUAUACUCCCACCCCUUUUCUGGCCUUCAGUCUCAGACUUACACCCUUGGCUCCCCAGGUUCUCAGGCCUUUGGGCUUUCCUGGGGCUCCAGUUUGCAGAUGGUGGGACCUUUCACUCUCCAUAAUCUUGUGGCCAAUCCCUUGUAAUACAUUUACAUAUCUGUAUGUAUCCUAUUGAUUUGUUUCUCUAGAGAACCCUGACUGAUACAGAUUCCCUCUGAGUUGUGCACUCUCCAUUGUCACCUCUGUGAAGACGACCUCAGGUCCAGCCAACUGUUCUUUUUAUUCUGCUGGGAGUGGCUCCUACCUGUCACUUAACCACAUAGUAUCACACCUAGCUGGUUGGUUCAGCGUUUUCCUUCCCUAGGAAACCGCAAGCGCUCAGCUGUGGUACAUAUUACUCAGCUUAUCUCCGGGACCUCAAAAGGAGCCUGAGCGCUCAGUAUGUGCAGUAUGAGCGCUCAGUAUGAACCAAUCAAUGCAAGAACGAACGUGCCACCCAGGCUUGCAGGCUUGCAAAGUGCUUCUCCGAGCGGAUUUUGCUUUCUGUGCCCGGGCACCUCCUCUGAAUUGCACGGUAGAGGUCAGGAGGUUUUUUUUUCGGGGGGCUGUGGGGUACCAGUGGAAGGAGAAUGUGAGCUGGAGGCCGAACCGCAGUCACCCGGGCCGCCCGCGUCCGGUGAGCUGCAAGGGACCGGACAACUUCUUAACCUCCCGGAAGCGGCUCCGGGCCCCGGCCCGCCCCUCCGGAAGGUGGGCGUGGCCCUCAUGAAUAAUGAAUCGCGGCGGGGGAGCGGCCGGGCCCGCCCCCUCGGGCGGGAAGGGGGAAGCGCCGAGGCUGCCUGACUGGAAUGAGGGUAGCUGCGGCGACGGCGGCGGCGGGAGCGGGGCCGGCCAUGGCGGUGUGGACGCGGGCCACCAAAGCGGGGCUGGUGGAGCUGCUGCUGAGGGAGCGCUGGGUCCGGGUGGUGGCCGAGCUCAGCGGGGAGAGCCUGAGCCUGACGGGCGACGCCGCCGCGGCCGAGCCGGAGCCCACUCUGGGGCCGGCGGCGGGCGCCUUCAACGGCCUCCCGAACGGCGGCGGCGCCGGCGACUCGCUGCCCGGGAGCCCGAGCCGCGGCCUGGGGCCCCCGAGCCCGCCGGCGCCGCCGCGGGGCUCCGCCGGCGAGGCGGGCGCGUCGCCGCCCGUGCGCCGGGUCCGAGUGGUGAAGCAGGAGGCGGGCGGCCUGGGCAUCAGCAUCAAGGGCGGCCGCGAGAACCGGAUGCCGAUCCUCAUCUCCAAGAUCUUCCCGGGGCUGGCCGCCGACCAGAGCCGGGCGCUGCGGCUGGGCGACGCCAUCCUGUCGGUGAACGGCACCGACCUGCGCCAGGCCACCCACGACCAGGCCGUGCAGGCGCUGAAGCGCGCGGGCAAGGAGGUGCUGCUGGAGGGUGAGCGGGGCCGGCGGGCGGCGGGUGGCCUGGGCUCGCCGGCGCUCACUUUGUUCCUGCCCCGGCCCCUUCGCGGGGCGAGCCCCUUUCCUCCGCCUCUCUCCCCAAACUCCGGCUUCUGGGGCUUUGAGUGUGGAAGAACUGAUGUUCCUUGCAGGAAAAGUUGGGCAGCCUCCGAAGUGUGGCUUGCAGCCCCUAACUAAGGAAGACUCGGCUGAGAUUUAGCAAAAAGCAGCCGCGUAGGAAGCCCCCCCUUCUGCACCAUAAGCUGACACUAAGAACUAGACGGAGACCGAACGGCUCGAGCUCCGUAGGUCUCCGUUUGCCUGCUGAGAAGUGCCCGGUUGGCGCUUUUCUUCGCUCACCUCUGGCUCCCCGGGGCGGGCGGAUCUAUUAAAAAAAAAAAAAAAAUCCAUCCACACCGAUGCCAGCGGUGUGCUUGGGCAAACCACCAAAACGCUGGUUAAUUUAUGGGAAUUUAACCCAUCAUUGGCUCUCAAGAGUAACCAAAGGAGAUCAUAGCACUUCGUGGAAGCCAGAUAGCUGAAGCAGCAAGUUUGUGUGGUUAAUGAGCCUUGUUUCACUGGAGGCUCACGUGUUUGAACAUUUACUGCCAACUAGAGUUUCGCCCCUUUUGCAAAAGACUGGUGCCAGCUUCCUACCGCUUACAGGCGUGCUGUUUGAAGACUAUUAGGCUUUUUAUAAGAAACUUGAAGUGGUAAAUUACAAGAUGGGUCUGAAUGGCCAGGAUUAUUCUUUACCUUAAAUAUGUAUGUAAUCUGUAAAUGGGAUCUUUUAUGACGAAUUUAUGAAGCUAAGACAGCAUUAAAUCUCCUCUAAGGACUCAUGCA
This is a non-coding RNA of Microcebus murinus (gray mouse lemur), 2414 nucleotides long. Lineage: Eukaryota; Metazoa; Chordata; Mammalia; Primates; Cheirogaleidae. The record is from RefSeq and is a predicted model, not a curated record.